UACCACUUGUCUACAGGGGAGAAAAACUCAGUAGACUACAAUAAUGAUGGGAAGUUUUAUUAUUAUUACUUUUUAAACUAUAUGUCCCCCUUUAAUAUAGCUUCUAUGUAGCCCUCAAGCUACAUGAAAAAUUAAGAAUAAAGAAGAUUCAUGGGUCAUCACAGACACCAUGGCUCUGUGUACCCAUGGUCACAGGACUUAAUGAAGGCCAACGGUGAGGACAAAGGUGGGCAAGCCCAGGCACAGCAAUGAGCUUCUGGGGUCACCAGCAAACACAUCAGGGCCAUGUGGGACAUGACCCUGCAAGUGUGUGGCUUUCCCCCUGGACCAGCAGAGGACGCAAGUUAACAAGAGGGCGGAGGGCUACACAGUGAGCCCAUCUCAGGACGGUGAUGGAGGAGGCGGGGCCAUGAAGACAGAGAGAGAGCACAUACUGGAUGAAGGGCCAGGACCUACUUGGCCUCACCAACAGAGGCAUGGAGAAGUUCCUUGUGCCUCAAGACCUGGACCCUGGAACCUGAAUCUGCUCACAAUGGACAAUGUCUUCUAGAGAUUCUGGCUACGCUAACUAGUUUCAUAACAGAGCUUCUCAGGGGGAAAAAAAUAAAAGUGCCGGGAACAAAACCCAGUAAGU
This is a long non-coding RNA of Mesocricetus auratus (golden hamster), 634 nucleotides long. RefSeq lists it as uncharacterized. The record is from RefSeq and is a predicted model, not a curated record. Lineage: Eukaryota; Metazoa; Chordata; Mammalia; Rodentia; Cricetidae. The transcript is spliced from 3 exons.